GUGGUCCUGGGAUGAU
Molecule: ribosomal RNA, 16 nt
Filed under: Alternaria tenuissima
Lineage: Eukaryota; Fungi; Ascomycota; Dothideomycetes; Pleosporales; Pleosporaceae
Description: partial 18S ribosomal RNA
Source: RNAcentral